This 21-nucleotide transfer RNA is filed under the name Poa ammophila. RNAcentral's name for it is "partial tRNA-Thr". Lineage: Eukaryota; Viridiplantae; Streptophyta; Magnoliopsida; Poales; Poaceae. The record is from RNAcentral.
UACCCUCUGAGCUAAGUGGGC